Molecule: ribosomal RNA, 373 nt
Filed under: uncultured Alphaproteobacteria bacterium
Lineage: Bacteria; Pseudomonadati; Pseudomonadota; Alphaproteobacteria
Description: bacterial SSU rRNA
Rfam family: Bacterial small subunit ribosomal RNA
Source: RNAcentral
UAAUACGGAGGGAGCUAGCGUUGUUCGGAAUUACUGGGCGUAAAGGGCGUGUAGGCUGUUAGGUAAGUCAGAGGUGAAAUCCCUAAGCUCAACUUAGGAACUGCCUUUGAUACUAUCUUACUAGAGAUCGAGAGAAGUUGGCGGAAUUCCAAGUGUAGAGGUGAAAUUCGUAGAUAUUUGGAAGAACACCAGUGGCGAAAGCGGCCAACUGGCUCGUAUCUGACGCUGAGACGCGAAAGCGUGGGUAGCAAACAGGAUUAGAUACCCUGGUAGUCCACGCCGUAAACGAUGAGUGCUAGCCGUUUGUGAUUAAUCACAAGUGGUGCAGCUAACGCGUUAAGCACUCCGCCUGGGGAGUACGAUCGCAAGAUUA